GUCCUCACUUCGGCAGCACAUAUACUAAAAUUGGAACGAUGCAGAGAAGAUUAGCUUGGCCCCUGCACAAGGAUGACAAUAUAUACAAAUAUAUAUCCAAUAUAUAC
Small nuclear RNA from Mus caroli (Ryukyu mouse), 107 nucleotides. NCBI's taxonomy places the organism in Eukaryota, Metazoa, Chordata, Mammalia, Rodentia, Muridae. The record is from RefSeq and is a predicted model, not a curated record.